This 490-nucleotide ribosomal RNA is filed under the name uncultured bacterium. RNAcentral describes it as "partial 16S ribosomal RNA". It matches the Rfam family "Bacterial small subunit ribosomal RNA", at positions 28 to 507 of the family's 1533-position model. The record is from RNAcentral.
GAUGAACGCUAGCUACAGGCUUAACACAUGCAAGUCGCGGGGCAGCAUGGGGGUUGCUUGCAAUCCCCGAUGGCGACCGGCGCACGGGUGAGUAACGCGUAUCCAACCUGCCCUUCACCACGGGAUAACCCGGCGAAAGUCGGACUAAUACCGUAUGUUGUCCAUUGACGGCAUCCGAUUUGGACGAAAGGUUUGGCGGUGAAGGAUGGGGAUGCGUCCGAUUAGCUGGACGGCGGGGUGACGGCCCACCGUGGCGACGAUCGGUAGGGGUUCUGAGAGGAAGGUCCCCCACACUGGAACUGAGACACGGUCCAGACUCCUACGGGAGGCAGCAGUGAGGAAUAUUGGUCAAUGGGCGUAAGCCUGAACCAGCCAAGUAGCGUGCAGGAUGACGGCCCUAUGGGUUGUAAACUGCUUUUAUGCGGGGAUAAAGUGGCCCACGUGUGGGUUUUUGCAGGUACCGCGUGAAUAAGGACCGGCUAAUUCCGUG